Non-coding RNA from Labrus bergylta (ballan wrasse), 1102 nucleotides. NCBI's taxonomy places the organism in Eukaryota, Metazoa, Chordata, Actinopteri, Labriformes, Labridae. The record is from RefSeq and is a predicted model, not a curated record.
UGGAUGUAGUCUGGAUGUAGUCUGGAUGUAGUCUGGAUGUAGUCUGUUGGCAUGUCAGUUUUUUGCUCGUGCUCCUCUGUGGCUCCCUGGUUUUGAUCCCCAUGUUUUUUGUUGAACUUUUAAAGCCUAACCCGGCAGGCAGAACUGCAAUAGCCCAGAGAUAUCCUGCCUGAAACUGUGUUUCUCCUGGAUCACAGAGCACUGAGAGCUUCAAUGCCACCAUAACCAGCUCUUGACACUUCUUCACUGACCCCCUGGAGGAUUACCAUGCUUUCUACAUGUCAGCAGCUAAUAGGAUGAAUGUGCAUAAUUGAACCCUAUAAGACAAAAAGUCCAUUACACCAAUUAAAAGCCUUCACUACUACAUGCCCUAGCCCAGCCCUGGAAGUGUUGUCAAUCCUGACAGCCUGCAGCUGAGGCUCACUGCCUGUUGGUAAUUAUCCGUCUGUAUUCCUGAGCUUUAUCACCAACAGUUGGCUACCACAGGAUGUGCAGAGAAAAUGAGAAAAAUUAAUUUGAUUCCUCCAUCAUUCCAGCGAACAUCUGUGUACUAACACAACAGUUAUUUACUCGGCCAUUUGUUCCCAUAACCAAGGCACAUAAUGGGUUAAUUUCCAACACACACAUAAUUGUGUUAUACUGCAAACAAAGUGUAGGCCAAAAGAAUAAAACACCACACACAUUCAUCACACUAACACAGUCAGCAGGCUAUGAAUCAGAUCACUACUUAUUUAAAUACAUUGAACACCUGCUUUCAAAGGAAAAGAUAAAGUGAAAUUCACAGUGUGCACUCUGCAGCCAUUUAUUAAACCAUCAGUCUAAGCCCAGAAAAACAACAUUUUAAUUAUAUUUCAUGUUUUGUGUUCUAUGAAAGGAGGCAAUUACAUUUGGGGGAAGUGGUUAGGUGAAAGGAAAAUUACAGGGCCAGUGGAUGCAGAGGGAGGAGGGUCACAAACCAGUUCCACUAAAAACACAAAACUGCUGCAGUCCAGCCUCUGGUAACCGCUGACAUCAUCUGAAUCAGAUCCUGCUGUGUUUGUGGAGGAGCUAAUGUUUAUCCUUUGUGCUUUGGUUGAUUAAACAGGAUCAGUGUUCUGGCUGA